CUCGACCUACGGGACGCAGCAGUAGGGAAUCUUCCACAAUGGGCGAAAGCCUGAUGGAGCAACGCCGCGUGGGUGAAGAAGGUCUUCGGAUCGUAAAACCCUGUUGUUAGGGAAGAAAGUGCGUGAGAGUAACUGUUCACGUUUCGACGGUAUCUAACCAGAAAGCCACGGCUAACUACGUGCCAGCAGCCGCGGUAAUACGUAGGUGGCAAGCGUUAUCCGGAUUUAUUGGGCGUAAAGGGAACGCAGGCGGUCUUUUAAGUCUGAUGUUAAAGCCUUCGGCUUAACCGUCGUAAUGCAUUGGA
This 305-nucleotide ribosomal RNA is filed under the name uncultured bacterium. RNAcentral's name for it is "bacterial SSU rRNA". It matches the Rfam family "Bacterial small subunit ribosomal RNA", at positions 333 to 630 of the family's 1533-position model. The record is from RNAcentral.